UUGAAGUGCACAUGUCAAGGCCGCCAUUAUCACCACAGAAGAAGUUCGCGGGAAAGUAAAUAAGUUAAAUAAAAGUAAGUUUAGGCAACUGUUAUCAAUCAAACUGAGGUUAGUUAUCAAGACCUUAUAAUUAAACAAUGAUCCCCGUCUAAUUGUAACCGUAAUUUUACUAAAAAGUUGCAUUUUUUUCAACAGGUGACAUUGGGUUGCAUGCGACAUUUUUGGGAACGGCAUGACCGUCACAUUGAAAAAAGCUACAACAGUUAAGUAUGUGUGAAGUAUUUCAGACAUAAGUUAUAACGUAAUCCUCCUGUAUAUAAAAAUAUUGCGGACACGUACAGUAAUUGUACUAGUAAAUACGUUUUGCCCUCCGAGGAAAAAGGAGAACAAUGGACACCCAUGUGGUCAUUUCAAAAGAAGUUAGAACAACUUUAUCAGUUAACUUUUGUACAGGCUUAAUAGAGUGUGUGGAGUCAAAGGACUUUAAGCUUCUCCAAAAAUUUAAUUAAAUGUUGGUAAAAUAAGUUGCGAGGCCUAAAGUUUCAUUUUGCAUUUUAUUUCUUUACUGUUCUAGGACCUUAUCAUUAUUAUCAAACUGUUUUAAGGAAAAUUAAAUACAUGAAUGGAACUGUGGUCAUCGGGUCAAGAUAAGUUAUAAUAAUAAAAGAUACAUGGGGAACCAGGGCUCACACUACUUCUGAAUUAUAGGGAGAAGUGACUUCUCUUUUUGAAACUGAUAGGGAGAAGUGGUGAGAUUUGAAAGAGAAGUGCUCAUUCGCGCGGUGCGCUACAAUGUUUGGAUUUUACUAUAGUAUAAAGGGUCAUAUGUAAAUAAUGUUCUUUUUAUAUUAUUCAAUUCAUAUCUGAGUAUACAAUUAAAGUAACAUUUCAAAUUAAAAGUUGUUUAAGUUAACUAAGGUUUUGAGAAACUACAAACUAAAUAUUUAUAUCUAGCACUAAAAAUAUUUUUUUUUAUUUUAAAAAAUGUAAAGAAAUUAUAAUGUAUAUCACAUACCUGCCAACUUUCACGAUUUAGGCGUGUACUACACGAUUUUGACCCUUUGUCACGAUUGCACGAUCGUGUUCCUGAAAAACCCUCUAAAACACGAUUUGGUGAAAAUCUACACGAAAAAUAUUGUUGUUCCCGAUUUUGAACUGUGUCCAAUGGAGGAAAUCGUGUUCAGCCAAUCAAAUUGUGUGUUUCUCAUGAUCAAAUUAAUCAGCCAAUCAAAAACGUUUUCUCUCAAGAUUGUUUUAACAUGCUAGAUAUUGAACUUGUGUUGUAUUCCUCUGUUUGUUGGUCAGAAUUGUAAAAACGUGAACAUGGCAAAUGAUUUUUCAACUGCAAGGAGGUUCUUACACAGAAUAAGAAUAAAAGCAUGGCUGAUUGACAAACUUCAAUGAUGCAGUACUACCAUGAAUAUAAUAAAUAGUAGUUUAUUCACUAAUUUAUUGACAUUACAUGUACACUUGCUGUAACAUAAUUUUAUUUAUGUAUUCAAUCAUUUAAAGUAUAAUGUACUAUUCAUUAUUUUUCACAUGGACCCCCCACCCCCACCCACAUCAACAUGAGGAAUCCCUUAAAUGAGGGACUACCCUUAGUCAAGGGGUCACUCUUGUAAAAAAUAAAAUAGAAAAAUGUAGAUUUAUUAACUUAAAAAUGGGAAAUUCUGACAUUAUAUUUGGAACAGCUUUUCUAAAUGAAGAGUCCUAUUAUUUUGAAUAAUAAAGAAGAUAUAAGGCCAAGAACAUAUCAAAGUUCUUGGACAUGUGUUGACCAUAUAAUACCAGAUAGAUCAUAAGAUGUAUAGUUCUUUGGGAAAAGUUUCUUCAAAUAAUAUGAAUGUGUGCUCAUUUGUACUUAAAAAGUGGUUUUUAAUGUCCAAACAUUGAGGGGUGAUCCCUAUGUGUUGUUCCCAACCUGAUAAAGGUCCUUCUUUGUGUAUAAUUUUAAAUUGGAAAAGUCAACAACUAUUUAGUAUCCUUACACAUGAAAAUAAUUCCUGGUCUUACAGCUACAUGUAAUGAUGUUCAUAUUUUCUGCUGAUAUAAUAACUAGAAUCAUGCAAAUAAACUUAAGAAAAAGGGAUGUAAGUCCAUCUUACAAAUCAUGCAAAUAUGACACUUUUUCUAGACUACAAAACAGCACGCGCAAAAUAGUUGUCGCAAAGAAUUUUAACCUUUGAAAUUGUUGUGGCGCGCUAAAACCCCCAUGGGCAUUUUCAAAAGUUGGCAGGUAUGAUAUCAAUUACAAUUUAAUUCAAAUCUAUCUUGUGUAUGAAAUUCAGUGUUUCUCAUAAAAAAAUAUAAAAGUUUAAGCUGGGCCAUAAUAUAAUUAAUAGUCUCAGAGUUAAGCAACUUUGAAACAAUCCAUAAAAAAUAUAGGGAAUUAUAUACACCAAUCAAUUAGAUGUAACCAAAAGUCUCUUAAUGCGUGUGGAAUACGUAAUUUUUCCCUUUGGGAUCAAUAUUCUUCUGUCAGCUGUUCCAUCCGUGCGUCCGUAGUAAUUAUUGUAAAAGUACGGAUUACGGUCAUAGCUGGUCCGGUUCAGAUCCGUAGUUUAGAAAUCGGUCAAUGGCGGACGAAUGCAAGAAAAUUUACAAAAAUAAACGAUGUUUGACAAGUUAUUUGGAAAGGAACAUGACGUUUUUAAUGCAAUAAAUGGAUUGAACUUUUACUGGAGGCAACUUUUAUCACGUUUAAAUGAAGUAACAAACUUAUUUUGCUGCAGAUUGAUGUACGUUUUCGAGUAACAACCACCGGAACUUGCGGAAAUGCACGAAGUGAUAAAAAGUUGUAUUUUUAUACGACCGCAAAAUUUGAAAAAUUUUUCGUCGUAUAUUGCUAUCACGUUGGCGUCGUCGUCGUCGUCGGCGUCGUCGUCGUCGUCCGGCGUCCGAAUACUUUUAGUUUUCGCACUCUAACUUUAGUAAAAGUGAAUGGAAAUCUAUGAAAUUUUAACACAAGGUUUAUGACCACAAAAGGAAGGUUGGUAUUGAUUAUGGGAGUUUUGGUCCCAACAUUUAGGAAUGGAAUUAGGGGCCAAAAGGGCCCAAAUAAGCAUUUUCUUGGUUUUUCACACUAUAACUUUAGUUUAAGUUAAUAGAAAUCUAUGAAAUUUUUGACACAAGGUUUAUGACCACAAAAGAAAGGUUGGGAUUGAUUUUGGGAGUUUUGGUUCCAACAGUUUAGGAAUUAGGGGCCAAAAAAGGGCCCAAAUAAGCAUUAUUCUAGGUUUUCGCACAAUAACUUUAGUUUAAGUAAAUAGAAAUCAAUGAAAUUUAAACACAAUGUUUAUGACCACAAAAGGAAGGUUGGUAUUGAUUUUGGGAGUUUUGGUCCUAACAGUUUAGGAAUAAGGGGCCCAAAGGGUCCAAAUUGAACUUUGUGUGAUUUCAUCAAAAAUUGAAUAAUUGGGGUUCUUUGAUAUGCCGAAUCUAACUAUGAAUGUAGAUUCUUAACUUUUGGUCCCGUUUUCAAAUUGGUCUACAUUAAGGUCCAAAGGGUCCAAAAUUAAACUUAGUUUGAUUUUAACAAAAAAUUGAAUCCUUGGGGUUCUUUGAUAUGCUGAAUUUAAAAAUGUACUUAGAUUUUUAAUUAUUGGCCUAGUUUUCAAGUUGGUCCAAAUGGGGGUCUAAAAUUAAACUUUGUUUGAUUUCAUCAAAAAUUGAAUAAAUGGGUUCUUUGAUAUGCAAAAUCUAACUGUGUAUGUAGAUUCUUAAUUUUUGGUCCAGUUUUCAAAUUGGUCUACAUUAAGGUCCAAAGGGUCCAAAAUUAAACUAAGUUUGAUUUUAACAAAAAUUAAAUUCUUGGGCUUAUUUGAUAUGCUUUAUCUAAAUAUGUACUUUGAUUUUUGAUUAUGGGCCCAGUUUUCAAGUUGGUCACAGUAUUGCACAAUAGCAAGAAAUAUCUAAUUGCACAAUAUUGUGCAAUAGCAAUUAAUUUUCAAUUGGAGUUAUCUUUCUUUGUAUAGAAUAGUAGUUGAUAAUAUAUGUUGGAAAUUUGCCAGACAUGACUAUGAUGUCAUUUUCUAUUUUUAUUUGCCAAUAACUUUAUGUAAAUGACUUCAUUGGAAAUUUGCCAAUAUAAAAUGUUGCUGAUGAAGCUUUUUUUCCUUAUCUUAUCUAAAAUGUUUUUAGAUAAUGUAUGUUGGACAUUUGCCAGACAUGACUAUGAUGUCAUUUUCUAUUUUUAUUUGCCAAUAACUUUAUGUAAAUAACUUCAUUGGAAAUUUGCCAAUAUAAAAUGUUGCUGAUGAAGUUUUUUUUAUUGUUUUAUACAAUAAACAAUGUAUAUUCACUUUUACUACCAACCAAUCUUUACCAUUCAGUGAUAACAAGCACUUUAUUUUACAUUUUAAUAUUUUAUGAUGUAUUUAAAAGAGUAGUUAUUGUUGCAAACUCCAUUAGAAAUUUAAAUUGAUAUCAGUUUUGGAAAAAGGGAAACGGGGAUGUGAAAAAAAGGGGGGGGGGGUAAAUUUUUCUCAUUUCAGAUUUCAUAAAAUAAAAAGAAAAUUUCUUCAAACAUUUUUUUGAGAGGAUUAAUAUUCAACAGCAUAGUGAAUUGCUCAAAGGCAAAAAAAAACUUUUAAGUUCAUUAGACCACAUUCGUUCUGUGUCAGAAACCUAUGCUGUGUCAUGAUCAACUAUUUAAUUUUAGAUUUAAAAAGUUUGAAGAAGAAAUCUUUAAUUGAUUUGUAAAAUCUUGACAUUUGUUUUGUGUAAAAAAAAACCAUGUAAUGUCAAAAAUUUGAUCACAAUCCAAAUUCAGAGCUGUAUCACGCUUGAAUGUUUUGUCCAUACUUGCCCCAACUGUUCAGGGUUCGACCUCUGCGGUCGUAUAAAGCUGCGCCCUGCGGAGCACCUGGUUAUCAAAUAACCUGCUACACACUGCAAAGACAAUGCUUCAACCUCUUUUCUUAAGAUAAUCAAUCGUUUAGGUCUAAAUUUCUUUAAUUAUCAAUAAAAAAUUGAUGAUUCAUCAACUUGGUAAAAAUUGAAAAUGUCCAUUGACGGAAGCGACUGAAAGCGAGUAUCGUCAAGAACAGGGCGACUUGUUUUCGCUUUUGGGGGUCGGGGAAAGCGACUUCUUCGCCCAAGUCGCCUGGUAGCGUGAACCCUGGGAACCAUAGGCACAGCUCAUUGGUCCUUUAUGUUUUGAUGUCCCACCAUAUCGGGGGGGGGGGGGGUUUAAGUUUUACCAUUGUCUGUCUGUAGUAGUACAUACAUCGGUCUGUAUGUCCCAAAUUGGUUUCUGUUUCCUUACUUGAGAUUGCUUCAUUCAAAUUAUACGAAACUUGUACACAAUGCAUAUUUCCGCAUAACACAGGCGUCACUUUAGCCAUUUCAGAGUUAUGCCCCUUUAUAAAUGGUGAUUGCCCAAUAGGUCAAGUGAACAUUUGAAAUCAUUUGCGAGAUUAAAGCCUAUAUUUUAUUGAAUCUGUGUCGUAGACUAUGAGAACAAGUUACGAAAUAUUUGUUGUCCUUGUUUCAUCUGUUUACUGAUGAAAUCCAGAAAGAGACUAGAUCAUGUGCUUUAAACAAACACAAUGGGUCAUUUCUGGUAUUAUGUCUUUCAAUUGAAAAGAUCACCAAUUUCCCACGUCUUUGUGACGUCAUUUACCUGAUAGAAGGCAUGCCUGUAUCCCUGCUCUUUUUAAAGUUUCCAGCACUUUCAUAAACGUCAUUUUGUAAGGUAGUAUAGAAAUAAUUAAUGUUCCGCAAGUACAUAAUCGUGAUUGCCGUAUGACUGAGAGAGGGUGACCUUACUUUUAGAUUUUUAUUUUCCGAAUAUGUCAUGUAUGUUGUGCAGUAUAAAAUAAAACUUUUUCACCCGUUUACUCAACAUGUGUUAGAAAUUUAAGCAUUCAUUUUUGUCACAUGGGAAGUCACAUGACAAAUUUGUUGAAAACCGUAUCCAGACUGGCCCAUCUUCAAAUGCUAAUGGGUUUCUCUUUAAGGCACGCAAUAGUCAAAGUUGUGACUGAGAGCAAAAUAAGAAAAUAGAUGGAUCUGUGCCAUUUUCAGUCAAUGCUUACAAAUAACCUACAAUUGUCUGAUUCAUAAGGCGCUGAUAAGAUCAAGCUUAAAUCAAAAGGUGCUUCAAAUACAUUUAAAAUUUGUGUUGCUGUCAAGCGCUAAGACAAUUUUUUAAAACCUGACUAUGAUCAGGGCAAAUUUUCAAAAAUGUCAUACUGCCAGAUCUUUAAUAUUCUCAUAGCCCAAAUGGCGACCAGAUAUGAAUUUUUAGUCGCCAAUCAGCUUAUAAAGUCACCUAGGCGACCAUUUCAGUAGACUACAUUGAGGGCUAAAACUUGUACACAAUGUUUAUUAACUCAAAAUACAGAUCUAGUUCAACUGAUCUAGAGUUAUGAAACCUUAGAUAUAUGUGGUAUAAUUGUUAAAAUUAUUUUAUAAUGACCCAUUAAUGUAUUCUGGUCUAUGUGUCUGUCAACCGUCCGUUUGUUCUGCUUCAGGUUAAAUUUUUUGGUCAAGGGAGCUUUUGAUGAAGUUGAAGUUCUUGAAUCUUAGUAAACAUGUUCUCUAUGAUUUGAUCUGCCAAAUAAGAGAUUUUUACAGUUCACUGAACAUAAGAAAUGAUAGUGCGGAUGGGGCAUCCAUAAAUUAUGGACACAUUCUUGUUUUAAAUUGGAGUUACAAUGUACAUUAACCUCCUUUGUACAUAAUUGUAGUUGAAUCUGAAGUUCAAUAUCUGUAUUUGAAUCAACUACAAUUAUGGACAAAGAAAGAUAACUCCAAUUUUAAAAACUAAUUUAAUUCUUUCACCGACUGCUGCCCAGACAGAAGCUCCUCUGAGACGAUGGCUUCCCUGGCUACUUUUACUCAAUUGGGAGAUCUUCAUAAUAAAUGUCAAUAAAAACUUGUUUGUAGUUAUUUCAUUCACUAAUACCGAGUUCACAGUUUUGUUUAUGUUUUGAUAAUUUUUUCUUCAUAAAAUAUUCAAAUUUUCGGCAUUAUUUUGGUGAAAUUCUUAAAAUUCUGCUCUUUGACCCCAAAUUGUAAUUUUUUAACCCAAAACGACAAAAUUUGAAAAAUUUUAUGAGGCUGUACAAAUUUUUCACACUGAUCGAUGUCCAUUCCAAGUGUUUUGUACAUAAAAUGACAUUUUAUGUCAAAAAAGUAUACUAGUUUGGCUUCAAUUCUUCCAUAUUCUUUCAAAAAAAAAUGUUCCCUCAUUUCAAAUUCUUGUAAAUUCUGUAAAUUUCCUCUGAUUUUGACACGGUUUUCAACAAACGGAAGCACCAUGUUUACACUUUCAUCCGGGUAUUCAUCAAAGAAAGAUAACUCAUGUUUGCACUGUUUUGAGCGGGAAAUAUAAAAGAUGUAUUCUGAUCCCGGUAAAACCGGACUCAUCGUCUGCUGUCUGGAGCGUGAAUCCUGGUAAACCGGGACUCAUCGGCGAAAGGGUUAAACAACUACAAAGGAAGAUAACUCCAAUUUUAAUUUUAUUUUAACAAUUACAUCAACUAGAACCACUGCUUUAUACAAUCCAAUGUUCACUGAAAAAAAUAGAAACCCAUAUGACAAUAUGUGCUUACAAGCACUUUGAUCAUUUAUCAUUACAUCUGUAUCUUUAUAUGCAAAUUUUCAAAAAUAAAAUAUCACAAGGACAAUAAGAACUACAGUUGUCCAUGUCCAGCUAAAUGUACAUGUAGGUUUUAAGAUAUGACUAAAGAUUUUUUCAAACAAAAACAUGUUUUGAAUUUCUCAUAACUGUUGUAGGCCAAACAAAUAUAUAUAUGUCUGUUUACGUUUACCCGACCGACCCUUUUUUGAGCGCCAAUCCUAAGCCAUUUUAUUUCUGUCGUAAAGUGAUAAAAGUUAAUAGAACUUGUGUCAAAAGCAAAGUAAGGGUUGCCAAUAAAUUUAAUUAAUUGCCUGAUACAUCCCAAUGUUCACAAUUGAGAAUAUGACAACUUUUAAGGAAACUUAAUGAAAUAAAAACUUUGCUGCCAUUUUUUUCUAAAUAAUAACCAAGGGAAAUAAUCCAAUCAUUAAAACUACAGGUAAACUCAGCCCAUGGACAACUCAGACCUCAGCAAGACAGACUGCACAACUCAAGAUCAUGGCGCAAAAAAUAAAUUGGAAAUACGACCUGCCUACCCUAUUUAUUUUGAUGAUGUAACCUGUAACAGACAUUUUUUUUUUUGCCUGAAUAAAAAUUAAAGCAGAGUUUAAUAAAAUUUGCAAAACUUUGGCCACAGAGAGAAUAUUUGUGGAUGACACUGACAACGGAAAUGCGAAGGAUUGUCUCGAUCUGUUUGCAUCAAGUCGCAGGCUCCACAAAAAAAGAUAAGUUUAUAAAUUGUUGUGCUGGUUCCCGGCUGACUACUUAACUAUGUAUGUUGUUAAAAUAGAAGCGAAGUCCAGUUUUCAUAGUGUGCAUUAUUUAAAGAGAAACAUGAAAACUUGAAUGAAGCAUAAAAUUUUGUUAUUUAUUAGUAUAGUAUAUUAGAUGAUCUGAAUUAAAACUGCAUAUUAAUAUGGAAUGAGUAAGUAAUUUAAGUUUUGAAUGAUAAAAGAGCGCUAUCUACAAUUUUCAAUAACAAAGAAAGCGGUAUAAAUUAGUAGAAACAGAUAUAUCGCAAAAGUGAGUUACUGUUGAAGUAAAAUGUUGCAGACAAAUCAAAUCUAAAUUUGGGAAAACAUUUUAAGUAUUGGUCAACUAUCGGGUCAUUUACAUUUGGAUCAAGAUUUUUUCGCAAAUCAUGAGGCAACAUUUGGGGCUCUUUACUGAAAAUAGAGUGCCACAUAAACUUCUCCUUGGAGAUUCUCUAAAGUGACUUUGUUUCACUUCGUCUGGUGUGGUACGGGUGAACCCUUUUAAUUACUUAUAAAUUUAAAUAUAUUUUGUUAUUGUGAAGUCCUUAGAUUUUACAGAACCCAAAAUGUAGGUCAAAAGCCACCUCAGUUGCACUGGAGAAAAGACAUUUGUCAAACUGCAAUGGCUAUUUAUGAAAAAAUAGGGUUAUGGAUAAUCAUAAUUUUUGCAUAUUUUUUUGGUAAAAAUCAAAAGAUUAUCACCUUUUCUUCCAUGAAUCGAUAAAUAGCUAUAUAAAUAGAUUUUCCUUUAAGUAUUGAUUAAGUAAAGGUGUCACUACCAUUCAAAUGACUGCUCUAAUCAAAUUGUAAUCUGACUCUGCCAUUUGAGUUUUUGAUUCAUUAAAAAAAAAAGGUUUAAAAAUACAUGUAUUGAAGCCUAAAUUGCUUACUCAAGAAGUUCUAAAAUUAAACUGAGAAGUUGUCUAAACUUGAAGCAAUUAUUGUUAGAUAAAUCAACCUGUUUCUACAGCCUAUCUAAAUGUUGGAGAUUUUGACGCACGACCAUAGAUUUCCACACAGUUUAUUUGACCAUUUAUUUCCAUAGCCUAUCUGGUUGGCGAUUGGCUGCCAGUCUAUCCCGACUACAAUCACGGCCACUCAUUGUAGAACAAGCUUCUAGGUAACAGUUAAAAUUUAACAGCAUUUUACUUAUCACCAACGGAGAGAUAAAGCAGAACUUUCACAUUGAUACAAGGGAGAUUACUCUCCCAGGAAACCAGACCCUAUCAGUUUGUGUUAGUUUUUAUAUAUCUGUUAUCACGUGUAGUGAUUACGUUGUAAUUCUAGUUUGAUUAGGGUUAUAGGGUUAUCUAAUACCUGUAUUUACCUAUAUAUAGUAAGUAUAGCUACUUAUUCUAAUCACAUCAUUUCUAUUUACCUAUAUAUACUUAUCUUAUGAAAACAGCAGGUCACAUACAAUUGAUACAUUGUUUGGUAGCAUUCCUUCAAUAAAUAUACAAUAGACUAUUUUCACAUUACCUGCUUUUGACUCUGGAAUAUAUAUAUUGCAAACUGUGCAAUUUAGAGAAAUUAACUUGUUUUCCAAGAUUUAUAGAAAACAUACAACAUAUACCCCCCCUCAUUUGCACCUACUAAAAGCUUUUAUUUACUUGCUCAAGUGUUUGUUACCUGUUCGAGUGUCGUAAAAUUAUGAACUUAGUGGUCAAAAGUCUGUUAUAUAAAAUACAUGUACUGGUAGUCUAUUCAAGCUUUUCUGCAAAGUAAUUUUAGCUUGCACAAGUUGCUAUUAGGAUUGCAUUUCCCUUUGAUAUAGGUAUGGUACCGGUAUUUAACAGUAUCUUUUAAUGCCUCCAAGCCAAUAUUUGAUAAAAUAAUAUUUCAUUAGUGUCGAAUUGUCAUAAUAGAUAAGGUAUAAAGAAUUUUUUUAUUUGUACUUUAGAGUAUACUGUUUAAAUGUAUAUAAAAUAUAAGGAGAUGUGAUAUGACUGCCAAUGGGACAAUUCUUCAUUCAAGACUAAAAGAACAAGGACAAUUUAAAAAGUGUCCAUUAAAAAAGUGUUAAAGGUCAUUUAAACCGUUGUACAGGUAAACAAAUUCAACUAAUCUUCUUAUCUUUUCAAACUUCAUGAACUUUUAUUGAAUUCCCUCUAUGUGUGCCUCAUUUAAAGUGUAACUGUCAAUAGAAGCCCUUGAUUGAACCCCUCAGAGGUAUGAAUAAAAAGUCAGGAUAGUAUUGGAAGUUUUUACAGUGUGUUGAUAUAAGGUUUAUGUGAUAUGUUAUAGGACUGGUCAACCAAGGUAUUCCCCUGUUACGGGCCGUACAGUGGCGUACAGUGGAAUUAUCACAUAACAUGGUAAGUACAAAACUUUUUAAAAUCCGACCUGCUUUUAUAAUACGUUCUUGUCCAUUCGUUUUUGAUGUGUUUUGUCAUUUGAUUUUGCCAUGUGAUUAUGGACUUUCCGUUUGGAUUUUCCUCUUGAGUUCAGUAUUUUUGUGAUUUUACUUCAUAGUACUCCAAAUAGACACAAGACCAACAUCACAUGUCCUGUAAAAAAUACAUUCGGUCCAGGCAAUUUUUGUUCAUUUUGUUGAACAUUCCUAAGAAAAAUCUGAUCAUGAAGAAUCAUCAAUUCUUUCCUGUAAACAUCAAAUCCCAAUUUCUAGGACUGCCAUGACUUGUUAAACAUUUAUAAACUAGAUUGAUAGAAGACAUGGCUUGUAAUAAAAAAAGAAAUUGAUAUAUAUCCUAAAUUUUAUUUUGACAUACAUUUUAUAAAUUGUUCAAGUGUUCAUGUUGCAUUCUUUAUAUUAGUGUUUUAUAUUGCACCUUUAAAUUUCACUUGAAAAUCCUUUGAUAUUUAUUUAAAGCAAAUUUGAACACCUGAAAAUUUAAAGUACUGUUAUUUUUUAUUUUUUUUUAACCAAUAUUGAAACGGGUAACUUAAUUUUUUUUUCUUCAGGGUUUUAAAAUUAGCAGGGUCCACUCACCAAUGACCCCUAAAAUUUGGUGAGGUCUACUACUUAAAUUUCUGUUUUUCUUGUAUCAUCUUGAUCAUGUAUAGAACUCAUUCUAUAUAUAAAUUGGUUACCAACAUUUAUAACUGCCAAACUUGGUAUUUCCAUAUAGAUCAUAAUAUAUACUAGAGUUGAAGGUUUAUUUUCUUAUACAUGUACAAACAUUAUUUGCUUGAUGCAUGUACUUCGAUACUCCUUAUUGAAAAAAUUACGAAAGAAAAUUUUAAGGUAAAAUUGAAAAUGGAAAUGAGGAAUGUGUCAAAACGACAACAACCCGACCAUAGAGGCUAUUUCUUUGCUUAAAAUAAAGGGUAGGUAGGGAAAUUUGAAACACACAUUACUUUUUGAUUUGGCUUAGAGGCUUGUUAAAUAGAUUAAUAAAUGAUUUAUAGUAUCUUUCUAAAAAAUAAAAUUAUAAAAUUGAGCUCCAGAAGACUCCUGGAAUGUUUGUGGUUUAAAGGUUUCUGACUACAAAAAAUUUGCAUCAGAAUAAUAAUAAUUUUUAUAUUUGUAUAUUUUUCUGAUGAUUGACAUUUUCUAAAAGAACCAAACGGGGUUAAAUUAUUUUGAGACUUCUGGCUUGAAGCAUGUUGAUUUUAAAAGUUUAACUUUAGGACUAGUACUGAAAACAAUAUAAUUAGUUAUCACAGGUACCAGGAUUAUAAUUUAGUACGCCAGACGCACGUUUCGUCUUCAUUAGACUCAUCAGUGAUGCUCAUAUCAAAAUACUUAUAAAGCUAAACAAGUACAAAGUUGAAGAGCAUUGAGGAUCCAAAAUUCCAAAAAGUUGUGCCAAAUACGGCUAAGAUUAUCUAUGCCUGGGAUAAGAAAAUCCUUAGUUUUCGAAAAAUUCAAAAGUUUGUAAACAGAAAUUUAUAAAAAUGACCACGUUAUUGAUAUUCAUGUCAACACCGAAGUGAUGACUACUGGGGUGGUGAUAACCUCAGGGACAAAACGUCCACCAGCAGUGGCAUCAACCCAGUGGUGUAAAUAGUUAUCAAAGGUAUACUUUUCUUACCUUUUGACAAUAACUCAAACAAUAGUCUUCCUUGGUAUUCAAUAACAUUAUAAUAGAUUUUCAUUCAGUCAAAUUUUAUUAAUUGUAUAUUUGACUUGUUAACUAUUGACAUGUGUGGUAAAUGUAACCAUUUGUUUGAUUAACUUUGUUACAGAAACAAUAUCAACCUUUUGUCCCAGACUAUUGAGUGCAUAACAUGUUGCCACGAAGGCUGUGUGGCCAUUCUAAUCUGUUUUUAAAGCUGGCUGUGUGGCCAUUGUAAUCUAUAUUUAAAGCUUUCCAGUUUAUAUUAAGGAUGUACUUAGGUGAGGUUAGGUGAAAAUUAAUAAAUUAAGAAGUUAAAAUUGAUACUAUAAGCUAGUAGAGCAUCAAUUAAGGAUAAAAAUAAGCUAAAAAUAUUGAUAGGUCAUGGACCUUCUUUUCGAGAUAUUUGAGAUUUAAAAUAUGGCGGGAAAAGGCUGACUCGGACUUUUACCUUAUAUUUGCAUUGGUACUAUUAGUUCUCAAAACAAAAGAAAGAAAACUAAGAAUCUUCUAAAAUUUUGGUAAAUGGCCUUUCAUGAGCUUCUGUGAAAAAAUAAAUGGGUGUUAUGGAGCAAAAUAUUUUACAUUGUAUUGUAUGGAAAAACACCAAGGAGUUCGAACAUUUGACACAAAUUCCAAAACCUCACCCAAGUACAUGUACAUCCUUAAUUCCAAAGAGUGUGAAGUUAUGACAUGAAUGAGUUUGUUGCUGUUAUAUUUAUAGUGACAAUAUAAUGUGUACAUGAAUUAUGAUAUGUUUGUGAAGUAAACCUUUUCUCUGAAUAUGUUAUAAAAAAAUAGGCUCAACUUCAAUGUGCAAUCACAAACAAAGGGAAAUAACUACAAUGUGGUAAAAAAAAAAGAUGAAAGUCACUACAAGGAUGCAGUGGCGGAUCCAGAAAUUUUCAUAAGUGGGGGCCCACUGACUGACCUAAGAGGGGGCCCGCUCCAGUCACGCUUCAGUGAUUCCCUAUAUAAGCAACCAAUUUUUUCCAAAAAAAGGGGGGGGCAGCAGGCCCCCCUAAAUCCGCCUCUGGGAUGAAACACAAAUCUACUGCUGAAGCCAUUAAAUUUUGAAAUAAACAGUAGUCUGUACACAUGUUUUAAUAAGCGGAAUGAUACUCCAAUUUCUGCAGAUAUUUUACACAAAGAGUCCUUCAUUUAUACAUUAGUUGACCUAUAUUGAGAUGAAAACUUGAGGGUCUGGAUGCAUGCAGCCUUAACCACAAGUCCUAUGGCAUUGGCUUGUAAAAUUCUGCUCUACAAGCUAACAGAAUCUAACUGAAAUUUUCUAAAAAUUGAGCUUCUGGCUUGUGGACUCAAAAAGUUAAGCGUGAAGGCUUUGCAUAUGGUUGAACAGAAUAAGGAUUAGAAGGCAAAAAAUAGAAGAAAUGGUUAUUUUGACUUGCACGAUAGGUGCAUUGCUAGACCCCCUAUCAAACUUGGCUCAUUGUUUCCUGUAUGACAAUUUCUCUAAAUUAUAAUUUGAAAACUGAAAACUUGUUUCUUUGACAAUCAAUUGUUGUACUUUGUUUUUUGUGUCCAGUUAGACAAUUUUUCUGAUGUUAGAAUUGAAUACUUGGUUCAUUGACAAUCAAUUGUUGUACUUUGUUUUUUGUGUCCAGUUAGACAAUUUCUCUGAUGUUAGAAUUGAAUACUUGGUUCAUUGACAAUCAAUUGUUGUACUUUGUUUUUUGUGUCCAGUUAGACAAUUUCUCUGAUGUUAGAAUUGAAUACUUGUUCAUUGACAAUCAAUUGUUGUACUUUGUUUUUUGUGUCCAGUUAGACAAUUUCUCUGAUGUUAGAAUUGAAUACUUGGUUCAUUGACAAUCAAUUGUUGUACUUUGUUUUUGUGUCCAGUUAGACAAAUUCUCUGAUGUUAGAAUUGAAUACUUGUUUUUUGACAACCAUUGUUGUACUUUGUUUUGUGUCCAGUUAGACAUUUUCUCUGAUGUUAGAAUUGAAUACUUGUUCAUUGACAAUCAAUUGUUGUACUUUGUUUUUUGUGUCCAGUUAGACAAAUUUCUCUGAUGUUAGAAUUGAAUACUUGGUUCAUUGACAAUCAAUUGUUGUACUUUGUUUUUUGUGUCCAGUUAGACAAUUUCUCUGAUGUUAGAAUUGAAUACUUGGUUCAUUGACAAUCAAUUGUUGUACUUUGUUUUUUGUGUCCAGUUAGACAAUUUCUCUGAUGUUAGAAUUGAAUACUUGGUUCAUUGACAAUCAAUUGUUGUACUUUGUUUUUUGUGUCCAGUCAGACAGUUUCACUGAUGUGAUUCAGGUUUGACUAUGAUAAGCCUGGUGUAAUGGUUGGGAUUUGAGCAAUGCAGUAUAUUAUAUUUGUAUUGCACUUGUCCCGGCCUUCAUACUUUGCUAGUGCCACCUCAGAAUCUAUGCCACCUCAGAAUCCAUGUAAGUAUCUUCUCUAUUUUUAUCUUGUCUCUUAUGUUCCUGUAUGUUUGUCUGUUCAAUUGUGUCUUCUGUAUGUAAGGUAUCUCUAUUUUCAGCUCACCUGGCCCAACUUACUUUUGUCUCAACCAAAUGUUAUGAAACUUAUGAACAAUGUUUAUUACCUCAAAACUCAGAUCAAGUACCGAUUUGGGUAGCGUAACUUUUUUUAGUUCUUGAGUUAUGUCCAGUUAUAAUGUUAUAUGCUUGCAGGGGCAUCAUCUGUGACCCCAUGGAAACAUUUCCCAUUUAUUUUUAUCUAUGUUUUGGAUGAUUUGACUUGCAAAUAUAAGCAGCUGCUAAAGUCAAACUUAAGCUAAAUUGGGCAAAGAACUUUCUAAAAACUCAAGAUUUCUUCCUAAAGACAGCCUUCAAGAUAAACUUUCGAGUCCUCAAGCCCAAAGUUAAAUUUAAGUUUGUUUCUGUUGGCUUAAAGAGAAGAAUUUUACAAGCCUGAAAGCAGUUUUUCAAGCCAUUGCUGUAGGACUUGUGGUAAAGGCAGAAAACUAUUAAGAAAAUUAGGUAAAUUUUCGUAGGGUUUUGUUCUCGAACAUUGAAGAUUAUCAUGUCAAUAUCAUCAACGACUAUGUUAUAUUUGAUGUAUUUUACCAUGAAAAUUCUUGUGGUUUCUUUUGACCUGAUAUCAGUGCAGUUUAUAACAUUGUUCUAUCCUUCAUUGAAGAAGCGAUGAUUGUUCUGCUUGGGUUACCGUCAGUAAAUAAAAGAUGUAUAGGAUGGAUUCUAUUUAAAUUUGGUUGUAUUAUUAUUCAAUAGAACCAUCAGUUUAAUAAUUCGGCAUUUAAACUUGAUAUAACAAAGUCCUUUAUAUGGAUGCACGGUUAAUUGACCAGGAAUAAAUACAAAGAAAUAAUAGUACUCAUAUAAAUGUGCAUAGUUUUGAGAUCAGAUUUUUCACAGUGUAUUAUAUAUAGAUGGGUUUUGUUCAUUGGUUUUAUAUUAUCUUGAUUAAUACUUUGAAUGGCCCUAAAAUGAUUAUAAAUGAUGUGCAUGAUCAAUCUGUCUUCAGUGAUGGGUAUAUUGGACUUUGAAUGGACCUGUUUAGAGGUCUGUCUUCAGUGAUGGGUAUAUUGGACUUUGAAUGGACCUGUUUAGAAGUCUGUCUUCAGUGAUGGGUUUAUUGGACUUUGAAUGGACUUGUUUAGAGGUCUGUCUUCAGUGAUGGGUUUAUUGUACAUGUUAUCCAAUCCAAAUGAAUAUCUUCCUAUACCAAUGUACAUGUUAUCCAAUCAAAAUGAAUAUCUUCCUAUACCGAUGUACAUGUUAUCCAAUCAAAAUGAAUAUCUUCCUAUACCAAUGUACAUGUGAUCCAAUCAAAAUGAAUAUCUUCCUAUACCAAUGUACAUGUGAUCCAAUCAAAAUGAAUAUCUUCCUAUACAAUGUACAUGUUAUCCAAUCAAAAUGAAUAUCUUCCUAUACCAUGUACAUGUUAUCCAAUCAAAAUGAAUAUCUUCCUAUACCAAUGUACAUGUGAUCCAAUCAAAAUGAAUAUCUUCCUAUACCAAUGUACAUGUUAUCCAAUCAAAAUGAAUGUACAAACAAUGUUGCAUUAGAAUAAUGAAUACACAGUGUGCAAUGUGUGAAGCCUUGUUAACAAAACUCAUUGUAUAUGUACCUGAUAUUAAAUGAUCUUUUUAUUUUCUUUAAUAAUGAGGUAAUAAAUUUUAGGAAAAAAUGACUGGUUUGUGAUAUAAACCUACAGAUUAAACUAUGUUAUAUCAUGGCUUCCAAUGUCUGGGUUGUUAUAUAAACAUACAGAUUGGACUAUAUGUUCGCAAAAUAUAACAUGGCUUCGUUUAUCCCUGGACUCAUCAUUUCAUGAUGGUCUUAGACAGGCCAGCUAGGCUUUCCAAAGAAGCGGCCCCCAGACCCCUUGCUGUAAAGCACCAAGCUGUUGUCUGGCUUCACCAAAUGCACGUUACGGCCACCUAUAAUUGUAAUUUAGCCUACUACUUCAAUUUCAAGGGGAAAGCCCCUUGGUCUACUGUGUAUUUAUGCCCUAAUACAAAAAUUAUUUGUGCAGUUAUGUUAAUGUGGUACCUAACACUACAGGGAGAUAACUCUGUAAGAAUCAACUAAACAUUUUAAUAACUUUGUAUUGUUGUGAAAUAUUACGGUUCUUAAUGAUUAAAAUAAGCCCGCCGUUGGGUUUGUCAAACUGCUAUAUAACCAAUGAAAUUUUUCUGAUAAAGUGGUUGGUUGAAAUUUUUUGAAAGUUAUAUAUUUUUGUCAAAGUAUCAAAGUAAACAUUUUGUCAAAAUUUUAUAAAAAUUAAAUGGGAUGAAUCAAUUUUAGUCAAGGUGUUGGGUACCACCUUAAAUUUCAUAAGUUGAACAGAAGUUGAAAUAAAAAGAAAAUUAGAAAAAAAAUAAAGUUUUUUUGUUGUUGCACGUUUGAUAAUUGAAAGUGUUUGACUGAAUGAGAUGCGUAUUUAAACAUAUAACAUCACUCCUCAGCAAUGUGUAUUUAAAUACAUAACAUCCAUUGAGUAACGAGAUUUGUAUAGGUUAAAGAAAUCUGUCUGUAUUUAAUAUGUGUCUAUAAGAUUAUGUCAACAUGCCUAUAUUAGAUAUUGACAAUUGUAAACGCAUAUUUGUCAAUUAACUAUUAAACAUAAAGGCGGGAUUCAUGUGUAGCUUGCAGUAGCUUGUUUUCUUCACUUCUCUACAUCACAGGAAGUGAAAUUAAAUGAUUAUUUUAAAUUUCAGGUCCAAUAGGAGUAUUAACCAUAUUUAAAGAAUGGAUUUAACUUGGAAAUCGGAGGCAGGGAAGCAAUACAAAAUUAUAAGGUAACAAUGAUCUUGUUAUUAAUUAAUAUAUAUUUAAAAUAUAUGCCACUCGAUUUGAAGCAAGAAACAAUCAAUCACUGAUUUGAACCUAUACAUAGUCCAAAUUUGAAUAGAGGUGAAAUAAACUUUUUUGUAUGACUAAAAGAUCAGAAACAAGAUUUAAAAAACUUUUUUUUUGCUUAAUUUCUUAUUUUACUGAUUAUGAUGAUUACAUUUCCACUCUAGCCCUUGACAGUGUCUACAGCAAGUGUGACACAACUUUUACAAGUUUUAUUUAUUGUCAUUUUUUUAAUAAAUGUUUAUAAAUGCUAAGUAAAACAUUGCUUGUUAAUUUCCAUGUUAGAAGAUAUUUUCUGUAGGUUCCUUAGGCCAAAAUUAAAAAUAUGUUUAUUUCCCCUCCUCCCACCCGGGUCAAAAAUAAGCCCCCGGGUCAAAAAAAUAUUUUCCACUAAAAAAAUCGAAAUUAUUUUUUUCCUGAAAAUAAUUUGUUUCCAUUUUUGGAAAGUGCUUGAAAGCAGAAGGAUUGAUAAUCUAAAUAAAUACACUCAAAUUGAGCACAAACAACUGAUAAGUGGCCUAGACUGGACAAGUCAAACCAUUCAUGUGACCAUGCUAUGACAAUCACAUCAAGUUAAAAAAAAAAAAAGGACUUUCUGGUCUGUUUACAAAGGGUAGACCCGGGGGAGGGGAAACAGACAUUCUUUUAAAUGUGGCCUUAAGUACUAAAGUACAUUUUAUUUUCUGACUCUUGCAGUACAUGUACUGGAUAUUUUUUUUUCUAAAAAAAAAAAUAUUUUCAAUGAAUCCUUAUAAUUAUUCAUGUUGUACUUAGGUCCAGGAUUUUGGAAAUGGUGAAACCCCCCUGAUUCGAAUCACUUUUAAAAUUUCCUACUUCGAGGGUAGUGGUCUGCUAAAGUCACUAACAUGAAUAUUAAACACAUGUUUAACUUUAAAUCUUGAAUAAGGUAUAGAUAAGGUAGUUUGUAUUUAUAAUCCAAAUUGAUUUUUUUCUUAUGACCAAAAACUUUUCAAGAGACGAGUUAUGAAAUAUUGAAUGUGUAAUUUAAACAAGUUUAGACAACUCUUGGCAGGUUUGUCUUCGUUUUGUGAUUUAAGACAAGAAUUGGUAACGUGGAAUUAAUUUGAUAAGCAAUGGUCGAUAAAAAAAGGAUUAAAUGUUGUGUGUAUUGCAAACCUAAGGUUUAAAUUCUUUACAAAAUGAUAGGUAAUAGAAAAAACUGCAAGAGUUAUUGGAAAGUAUAAACACUCUUCAUUUGAAUAUUUAUUUACAAUUUGUGAAAGAAUAUGAAAUUUGAUGUAUAAUUCAUCCUUUUAAAAAGUCUUUAAAGGCCGGCUUUCGUUCUUUUAACCUGUGUACUUUUGAUAUUCUUACCCCUUAAUGAAUUGAAUAGGCCAAGCAAAAGAUAUCCAGUUUCAAACUUUUCACUCUAAAUUAAAACUUGUAUUUAUAAAAAUAUUGCAGAGGUUGUGAAAUCUUUUUUUCCCUGGUGAUCCUUGAAGAAAAUCUGCAGGUCCUCGCUAUUAAUUCUAUUGAAAAAUACUAAAAUUGUGUUAGUCCUAUGCCAAAUUUUGGUGGUAAAAUCCUGAAGACCACCACAUUUCGCGAACUCUGAUAAAUCUAUAGACAACACUGACUUUAGCUGACUAUCUUCCAUUUGUACUAUUUGAAUUUCAACAUUUUUUGUUGCAGGAAUUAAACUAGGGUAAGACAGGAGUUUUAAGAGUAUGCAGAUAGGGGGUUAACAGAAUAGAGAAAAAGAGCAAAAAAUAUAAAGAAGACAGAAAUGAGCAAAAAAAAUAAAGAAAAGAGAAUAACAAGUUGCUAAAAUAUAAAUACAUGUUAUAGAGGCGUACAAAUUAAAGAAUGCAGAAAUGAAUAACCCCCUAUCCACACCCUGAAUGGGGCAAUGACCCAGCUUUUAUUUAAUCUCUGCAUGGAUUAACAGAUUAAUGGAUUAAACUAAUCUGUAUUAAUUAGUUGAUUAUUCAGAUGUGAACUUUAACCAUGUUUUAGACAUAACUAACGGUCGUGCUUUUUAUGCCCCAUUUAAGGGCAUUAUGCUUUCUGGUCUGAGUCUGUUCAUUCAUCUGUCCGUCUG
This 19734-nucleotide long non-coding RNA is filed under the name Mytilus galloprovincialis (Mediterranean mussel). The stretch from base 14657 to 14733 matches the Rfam family "mir-92 microRNA precursor family". The record is from RNAcentral. Lineage: Eukaryota; Metazoa; Mollusca; Bivalvia; Mytilida; Mytilidae.